This is an RNA transcript of Neltuma alba, 4750 nucleotides long. It is a transcript of the gene named probable splicing factor 3A subunit 1, with no coding region annotated. The record is from RefSeq and is a predicted model, not a curated record. NCBI's taxonomy places the organism in Eukaryota, Viridiplantae, Streptophyta, Magnoliopsida, Fabales, Fabaceae. The transcript has 5 exons.
AAGUCACAAACCCUACUCAAAUCAGGAUUCGGGAGCUCUGCUUGUUGGGUUGAGGAGACAGGGGAGAGCUCGCGAUUAGAUUGCACGCGUCCUUCGUCUUCAUCUCCGUCAGCAUCGACAGCAAGCAGGUUGGUUUUGAUAGCUAUCGCCUACUUCUAUGCCCUACUUUUGCUUUAACGUAAAGGUAAGGCGGUAAAAGACUUGGGAAUUGUUUUGAAGUCGCCAUAAUGUUGGGUUCAUUACCGAUACUGCCUCUGCCUGCUCCUCCCUCUGAUGGAAAUCUAGGUCCUCGCCCUGAGGCUCAAUUGCCUGAGGAGAGGGAGGAUGAAAAAUCGUCUAGCGAGGAGCAGACCAAAUCGAAUUCUACAUCAGUUGCUACCCACACUAGAACUAUUGGAAUCAUACAUCCCCCUCCAGACAUUAGAACUAUUGUCGAUAAAACAGCCCAGUUCGUUGCAAAAAACGGUCCUGAAUUUGAGAAAAGGAUCAUUGCAAAUAACACUGGCAAUGUCAAGUUCAAUUUCCUGAAUUCAUCGGAUCCCUAUCAUGCAUAUUAUCAACAUCGACUAGCGGAAUUUCGUGCCCAAAACCAAUCUUCCACCCAGCAAUCUCCUUUGCAACCUAUAGAUUCAGCUUUGUCUGAAUCAACCUUCUCUGCGCCAGCCUCUGACAGUAAUGAUGCUGCAGCAGCACCUACAGCAACAAUAAAGCCUGACCCCUCCUCUCAAUUUAAGCCUGUAAGGAAAGUACUUGAACCCCCUGAAGCUGAGCAGUAUACAGUUCGGCUUCCUGAAGGGAUUACAGGGGAAGAGCUGGAUAUUAUAAAGCUCACCGCACAAUUUGUGGCUCGAAAUGGAAAAUCAUUCUUGACAGGGUUGACUAGUAGGGAGGUUAAUAAUCCUCAAUUCCAUUUCUUGAAACCAACCCACAGCAUGUUUACAUUCUUCACUUCCCUUGCAGACGCGUAUUCUAAGGUUUUGAUGCCUCCGAAGGGGUUGACAGAGAAGCUGAGGAAAAGCAUUUCUGACAUGACUACUGUCCUUGAACGGUGUGUGAACAGGCUGGAAUGGGAGCGAUCACAGGAGCAAGCUCGGCAAAAGGCUGAGGAUGAAAUAGAGCAGGAAAGGAUUCAAAUGGCGAUGAUAGAUUGGCAUGAUUUUGUUGUGGUUGAAACAAUAGAUUUUGCUGAUGAUGAGGAUAAGGAGCUGCCUCCCCCGAUGACUCUUGAGGAGGUUAUAAGGAGAAGCAAGGUUUCAGCCAUGGAAGAAGAUAUAGUUGAACCUGAAAAGGAAGUUGAAAUGGAAAUGGAUGAGGAAGAGGCCCAACUUGUUCAAGAGGGCAUGAGGGCAGCUAGUUUGGAAGAUAAUGAUGAUGGGAAGAAAGGUGGGGUCAAUGUUACAGAGGAGCCUGAGCCACCUAUGAGGAUUGUCAAAAACUGGAAAAGACCAGAGGAAAGGAUUCCUGCAGAAAGAGAUCCGACAAAAUUUGUUGUUUCCCCAAUUACUGGUGAGUUAAUUCCAAUUAAUGAAAUGUCUGAACAUAUGCGAAUCUCUCUCAUUGAUCCCAAGUUCAAAGAACAAAAGGAAAGGAUGUUUGCCAAAAUUCGUGAGACAAUGCUGGCUCAGGAUGAUGAAAUCUCAAGAAACAUUGUUGGACUUGCACGGACCCGUCCUGAUAUCUUUGGUACUACUGAAGAGGAGGUCUCCAAUGCUGUCAAGGCAGAAAUUGAAAAGAAGAAAGAUGAGCAACCUAAGCAGGUUAUAUGGGAUGGUCACACUGGUAGCAUAGGACGAACUGCGAACCAAGCCAUGUCACAGAGUUUGGGUGGUGAGGAUCCAAAUAAUGUUGCUAAUAAUGAAGCUAGAAACCUUCCUGGCCCUGCCGCACCUCCUCCUAGGCCUGGUAUGCCUUCAAUUCGUCCUCUUCCACCACCGCCUGGACUUGCAUUGAAUCUUCCCCGUGUUCCACCCCCCACAGUUCAGUAUCCUCCCCCAACCAGUGGUGGUCUUUCAGUGCCUCCUCCAAGACCUCCGGUACCCAUUAUGCCAUCUUUUCAUCCUGCUUCUCAUCCAGUGCCAGUCACUUCUGGGCAGCAAACAUUCAUGUCCAGUCAACCACCUCCGUUGCCUUCAGUUUCUGUCAAUGGACCGGGGAUGCCUGUUCCUCCACCCCCAGGUUCUCAGAUCACUCCUGUUUCAAUUCCUCGACCGUAUGCCUCUCUUCCUAUCCCUCCACCUGGGAUGCCUAUGAUGCCUCCACCACCUUUGCCUCAAGGAAUGCCACCCCCGCCGCCACCUGAGGAAGCUCCUCCUCCGCUUCCAGAAGAACCAGAGCCAAAGAAACAGAAGCUUGAUGAUUCAGCUCUUAUCCCAGAAGAUCAGUUUCUGGCUCAACAUCCGGGACCAGUUCGUAUCUGUAUAUCAAUUCCUAAUAUUGAUGAAGGAAAUCUCAGAGGACAAGUUCUGGAGAUUGCCAUGCAAUCUCUGUCUGAAACUGUUGGCAGUCUGAAGGAGAAAAUUGCUGGGGAGAUUCAACUCCCUGCUAACAAACAGAAAUUGAGUGGAAAACCUGGCUUUCUCAAGGAUAAUAUGUCACUUGCUUAUUACAAUGUUGGAGGAGGGGAGGUGCUCUCUCUCACAUUAAGAGAGCGUGGUGGUAGGAGGAGAUGAGUUCAUACUUGCCCAUCCGUUCGAGGUUGUUGUUGGAGCUUUUGCCUCACUAUGGGCAUAUGAUUUCUCAUAAUAUUCAUAAACUCUAUGAUGCUUUAUUAAUGUUGGUGACUUUAUGUGUAUUCUAGUAUCAGCAAGCUUUCAGGAUCUUAUAAUUGUUUGGCAAGAUUGAUGUUAACUGUGAAAUGCUGAUUUGGGCACCUAGGCCUCAUCUUUUGAGAGCAGUGGGAAGUAAUGCAGUUCCUUUUAUAUGAUUAAGUCAAUACUUACACCAUUAAUUAUUAUUUUCUUCUGGAUUUCAGUUGAUUUCUUGCAGAUUUACUAGUUUGUUUCUGCUCGAACUCUUCUGCAAUCAGGGAGGGGCCAUGUAGAUUCUUGUUUUUCUUUGGUCUUGCUCAUUUUUAGUGUUGUUUCAAAUUUGAAUGGGAAGCAGUGAUUUAGGUUUUUCUUCUCUUCUAGUGUUUAGGUCUUCUUAUAUUGGAUAUGCUCUUACACCAGCACAGUUAAUUGGUUGGUUUGGUUGGAGGAUCCUUUAGGUGCUGAGCUUAUGCACCUUUAGCUGGUGCAUUAUGUUUGGGCUUAAUAGGACAUUUUACAUCGACUUAUGGGAAGGCUGUUCCGCUUAGCUGAUUUAUCUGUGAAUGGGAUGAGGAAGUUUUGUCACUUUGUGGUGGGAGCAGAAGACCACUGCAUUGAUGGCUGAAGGAUAAAGAAUAACGCAAGUGAUACAAAACAGAAAUAGAAGGGAAUGAAUUAUUUCUAUGCAUAUUGACCUGCGACUGUUGCAUUAUAUAUAGAGAAAAUCAAGCCUGAUCAAUCAUUACUGAUUUGAAUCAAACUGUUCGACUAACUGAUUUUGAGCUGAUAGGUAAACAACUCUUCUAAUCCCAAAGUUGGCCAUUCAUUUCCUACUUUUGACUUACCGUUCCUCUGGCAUUUCUUGCUCCCGAGCACCAUCUUUUGGACAGCUUUUAUUAUAUUUUUGUAGCAAAGGUUACAAAUAGACUAGGAAACCAAGAUGCUGAGUUUUAUGUCAUCUCCAACCGAUUUAUUAUUUGUCUUACCAUAUUUGGGGCUUAGUUUCUACCUUUUCAGUUCUCACAUGAACAGUUAAUCUUGCAGUGACCAUUUGCUGUUUUGGGAAUGACAUACAUUUGACUUAAUGCGUGAUCUCAGAGGCAUGAAUUUAUGGGACCUUUUGUCUUUGCUAGUUUUGGGUCCAUGUCAAUAUUCACUCGUCUUAGAUGCAUGGAGUCUCAAUUUUCCUGUGGCAUGUCUGUUUCAGUGUCGCUAUAUCGUUUCUUCUUGGAAUGUGAUGCCACUGGUAACGCUACUGAUAGAAGUAGUGAAAUAGUGGGUUCGGUUGUAAUGUUUUUGGAUUGAUCAGAAUGACAUUUGAGCUAUUCGUGAUAAAAGUUCUGUUGAUGGUGUAAUGGUGCUGAAAAAAGUGGCCAUAUAGCGCACCAAAAGUGUGGCCAUUGUCUUCUGCCCAAAAAAGAGAAAAAUAGCUAUAAGAAUGUUUGUGCCCUUAUGUUGUGCAAGUCGCCUAUAUGACCCAUCUUGGAAUGAUGGGUGCUGGUAAAACGGGCCAGCUCAUGGCCCAUGGUGGAGCAAGGACUUACAAGGAAGGACCAAUGUAUUAAACCAAAAAAAAAACACUGGCCUAGACUGUGGUGGUGUGGGGCUGUAAAAUUUCAGAUUCUAGCAGGCUGGCCUUUUGCCAACCCGCCUGUGGGCCCAGCCUGGUGGGUAAGGUGCUGCAGUAGUAAGCUUAUUUGUUUGCCGUAAAAGCUUAAUUGGUGUCAUGGGAUGUCUGUUCGUGGAAGAGUUACCAAUAUUGAUUUGUGGUUUAUGUGAUUUUAUUAUUGUCGGUUUGUUUUUCAUUAUCUUUAGAUUUUGGGGAGAAUGACACGUCGGUCCUUUAGAAGAGAAUUAUUGAUACGAGUGGGUGCAUUACAAGUCCCAAGAAGUAAGGAAUGGGGCUUGGUGAGGGUUAUGUAGGUUCUCAAGAAAGAGUUCCGUACAGGCCAAGAACAAUUAUGUACUUUUAAUUAUAGAAUGAGAAAACUUUUUUGGAGAUA